Molecule: long non-coding RNA, 269 nt
Filed under: Phoenix dactylifera (date palm)
Lineage: Eukaryota; Viridiplantae; Streptophyta; Magnoliopsida; Arecales; Arecaceae
Description: long non-coding RNA (PDAC_LNC004881)
Source: RNAcentral
UAUUUUGAAAAUGGUGGCGGAUUGUUCGAUAUUUUCAAAAUAAUAAAGACAUCACAUUUUGUUUUAAAUCAAAACUAGCCAACAAUUGUAGUGGUUGGUUGGCUGGUGGCUUUUCAAAAUGAGAGCUUUUGAGUUUUUGUUAUGCUUCGUCGCCGAAUCGGGUAAUAGAUUUUAGAAUAAACUUUUGAGUUUUUGUUAUGCUUGGGAGUUCUUGUUAUUGGCGCCUAUUUUUCUUCCUUUCUUGUUUGCCUUCCACUUAACCAUUCAAA